Rattus norvegicus (Norway rat) is the source of this 576-nucleotide non-coding RNA. Lineage: Eukaryota; Metazoa; Chordata; Mammalia; Rodentia; Muridae. The record is from RefSeq and is a predicted model, not a curated record.
UCGGGUGCUUCACAGAGAGCUUUCCAAGGAGCUCAGUACUCAGCAAUUUCACCAUUGCCUCAUCUGAUAACUUGAUUCCAGAGCAAGUUCUGGGCUUGCCUUUGGGAACCGUGUGUGAUGUGAAGCAUGGGAUGAUGCCGUUAGAGUCUACAUACUUCCUGGGUAUGAAAGGAGUAUAUCUUCUUGGAGAGUCACGAUACAGCCUCACUGAGUACCUCCAGCUACCUGAAACUUGCUGUGUAAAUCGGGCUGCCCUUGAAAUCACGAAGAUCUUCCUGCUUCUGCCUUUUGAGGGUGGAACCAUUUGCUGUCUAUCUGGCCACUAAAGGCAUCGGAGACUACCUGGGGAUUCCAGUUUACACUGAAAAGCAUCUGAGACACCCAGCCUCAUGGACUCAGCACACUACUGGACGUUUGGACUUUUCCAUUCACAGUCAACCAUUGCUGAGUUAUCUGGACUGCAGCUUCCUUCAGAUGAUGUAGAACUCAGCUCCUCCUGUACCAUGCCCACCUGGUUGCUGGCAUGUUCCCACCUUCAUGAUAUUGGACUGAAUCUCUGAACCUGUAAGUCAGCCC